CACAAUUAAGCGUUGUCGCUGUUAUGCACAAAUCCGAAGGUGGCUCAUCACUUAUACGCAGCCGACCGAAAAUAUACACCUUAUGAUCUUCGGUAGCGGUCGGCGUACAGCAUUAAAUUCACGUUGACAAAGUCCCAACUGCUGAAAGCAAUUAGAGCCCCAAACGUAAAGCUUUUUCGUAACCGUUAUGCAGCCAGAUAUAUCCCAACCGCAAGCAAUACUCGCUACUGGUACAUCCUAAAACAUAAUCAGGUAUAAUUUGGAAAGUAUUGAAGCAUUCCUCGCGCGAGUCCAAGCCCAACUGACCGCGACCAUUCCACCCGCACGCGUGUAUCCUUCCAUUUGUAUCGAGUACAAGCACAUGACCGCCACCGCCGCGUAUACGGCGCACGCUAGUUGGAUUAAAUGAAUAAUCUCGCACAAUUUGCGGUGUCAUACACAGCUCCGAUUCAUAGCCAAGGCUAAGCUGUCCGUGCGAGUUGGCGCCCUGAGACCUCAGUUGGAUAGAUACUGCAGUGAUUUGGUAUCUGAAAGGACCUAUGCAUUUCCGGUUCAAUGCAGUAUACUGCAGGCCCUACUUCUUCGUAAAUUUUUUAAGAACCGCCUAUGCAGAUGUACCUUGCGUAUUGUGGCUUCUAGAGACCUUUCGAAACUCAGAUGCGAGAUCACGUAGUCUAUUCGCCCUGAUAAGGAUGCCGCUACACUGCUGUGGCCGUACGUUCUGAUUCCAAGCUGCACUGCGGAACAAAGCCUCGCGGCAGUUGCGAAACCUAU
Molecule: long non-coding RNA, 774 nt
Filed under: Rhagoletis pomonella (apple maggot)
Lineage: Eukaryota; Metazoa; Arthropoda; Insecta; Diptera; Tephritidae
Description: uncharacterized LOC118740974, transcript variant X3
Source: RNAcentral